CGUACUGUGGUCUAGCGGUUAGAACGCUGGCCUUGUAAUCCUGGGGUCUCGGGUUCGAUUCCUGGCGGUGCCC
This 73-nucleotide transfer RNA is filed under the name Zootermopsis nevadensis. It matches the Rfam family "tRNA". Rfam says of the family: Transfer RNA (tRNA) molecules are approximately 80 nucleotides in length. Lineage: Eukaryota; Metazoa; Arthropoda; Insecta; Blattodea; Termopsidae. The record is from Rfam by way of RNAcentral.